GAUAAACGCUGGCGGCGUGCCUAAUACAUGCAAGUCGAGCGAACGGACGAGAAGCUUGCUUCUCUGAUGUUAGCGGCGGACGGGUGAGUAACACGUGGAUAACCUACCUAUAAGACUGGGAUAACUUCGGGAAACCGGAGCUAAUACCGGAUAAUAUUUUGAACCGCAUGGUUCAAAAGUGAAAGACGGUCUUGCUGUCACUUAUAGAUGGAUCCGCGCUGCAUUAGCUAGUUGGUAAGGUAACGGCUUACCAAGGCAACGAUGCAUAGCCGACCUGAGAGGGUGAUCGGCCACACUGGAACUGAGACACGGUCCAGACUCCUACGGGAGGCAGCAGUAGGGAAUCUUCCGCAAUGGGCGAAAGCCUGACGGAGCAACGCCGCGUGAGUGAUGAAGGUCUUCGGAUCGUAGAACUCUGUUAUUAGGGAAGAACAUAUGUGUAAGUAACUGUGCACAUCUUGACGGUACCUAAUCAGAAAGCCACGGCUAACUACGUGCCAGCAGCCGCGGUAAUACGUAGGUGGCAAGCGUUAUCCGGAAUUAUUGGGCGUAAAGCGCGCGUAGGCGGUUUUUUAAGUCUGAUGUGAAAGCCCACGGCUCAACCGUGGAGGGUCAUUGGAAACUGGAAAACUUGAGUGCAGAAGAGGAAAGUGGAAUUCCAUGUGUAGCGGUGAAAUGCGCAGAGAUAUGGAGGAACACCAGUGGCGAAGGCGACUUUCUGGUCUGUAACUGACGCUGAUGUGCGAAAGCGUGGGGAUCAAACAGGAUUAGAUACCCUGGUAGUCCACGCCGUAAACGAUGAGUGCUAAGUGUUAGGGGGUUUCCGCCCCUUAGUGCUGCAGCUAACGCAUUAAGCACUCCGCCUGGGGAGUACGACCGCAAGGUUGAAACUCAAAGGAAUUGACGGGGACCCGCACAAGCGGUGGAGCAUGUGGUUUAAUUCGAAGCAACGCGAAGAACCUUACCAAAUCUUGACAUCCUUUGACAACUCUAGAGAUAGAGCCUUCCCCUUCGGGGGACAAAGUGACAGGUGGUGCAUGGUUGUCGUCAGCUCGUGUCGUGAGAUGUUGGGUUAAGUCCCGCAACGAGCGCAACCCUUAAGCUUAGUUGCCAUCAUUAAGUUGGGCACUCUAAGUUGACUGCCGGUGACAAACCGGAGGAAGGUGGGGAUGACGUCAAAUCAUCAUGCCCCUUAUGAUUUGGGCUACACACGUGCUACAAUGGACAAUACAAAGGGCAGCGAAACCGCGAGGUCAAGCAAAUCCCAUAAAGUUGUUCUCAGUUCGGAUUGUAGUCUGCAACUCGACUACAUGAAGCUGGAAUCGCUAGUAAUCGUAGAUCAGCAUGCUACGGUGAAUACGUUCCCGGGUC
RNAcentral lists this ribosomal RNA (1371 nucleotides) under uncultured bacterium. RNAcentral describes it as "bacterial SSU rRNA". It matches the Rfam family "Bacterial small subunit ribosomal RNA", at positions 28 to 1380 of the family's 1533-position model. The record is from RNAcentral.